This 570-nucleotide ribosomal RNA is filed under the name Triticum aestivum (bread wheat). Its description in RNAcentral is "partial small subunit ribosomal RNA". Lineage: Eukaryota; Viridiplantae; Streptophyta; Magnoliopsida; Poales; Poaceae. The record is from RNAcentral.
AUGUGUGAAGUUGCUGCUACCUUGGGACCAGUUUUGAAGAUUGACAUGAAUACCAUUACUCAAGACAAGGUCAGGGCAAAAGUGAGGGUGAGAGAUCAUGAUAAAAUUCCAGUUUGUACAAAGAUCACUGAUAAAAAUCUGAUGAUAUACAGGGUGAAACCAGAACUGGAAAUAAUAGUUGAAUUGGGAUGGUAUGGAGAACAAAGGAAACAUGGCAUUGAAGAUGAGGAAUUUUGCAAUCAGGAAGAGGAGAUGAUGAAAAGACACAAAGGAUCUCAUAAUCAGGGAGAUGGAACAAUAGAAAACAUCAGUUUGGGAAGUUUGAAUCUCAGUCAGUAUGAGGAAAUGAGGAAGAAUGCAGAGGAUUUGAAAGCUAUGCAGAGAGAUCACAUCAGGGAGAUGGAAGCCAGGGGGAAAGUUGAAGCUGGUUUAGGGAAAAUUUUCCUCAAACUGGAGGAGAUGGAAGAAGAGAGGGCCAGGCAGAAUGCCUUAAGAGCUAAGGAAGAACUGAAAAUUACUGAGCUGGAAAAAGAGAGAAAGCAUCUUCUGGAGGUGGUGAGCAAACAAUAG